UAAGUCUCCUGAAGGAACGUUGAAGACGACGACGUUGAUAGGCCGGGUGUGUAAGCGCAGCGAUGCGUUGAGCUAACCGGUACUAAUGAACCGUGAGGCUUAACCUUA
RNAcentral lists this ribosomal RNA (108 nucleotides) under Klebsiella quasipneumoniae. RNAcentral describes it as "23S rRNA. Bacterial LSU". It matches the Rfam family "Bacterial large subunit ribosomal RNA", at positions 2819 to 2925 of the family's 2925-position model. Lineage: Bacteria; Pseudomonadati; Pseudomonadota; Gammaproteobacteria; Enterobacterales; Enterobacteriaceae. The record is from RNAcentral.